Molecule: long non-coding RNA, 645 nt
Filed under: Homo sapiens (human)
Lineage: Eukaryota; Metazoa; Chordata; Mammalia; Primates; Hominidae
Description: HSALNT0284540
Source: RNAcentral
UUUUCUACAUGAUUCAGACUAGAAUUUGCCACAGGAAGCUUUCUUUUUGCGAUUACUGUCUUUAGCAAAGAAUAAGCGGCCAUUUGCUUGCUGAGCUCUAAUCUAUCCUCUCAGAGAGUAAACUUCUUACCCAUGCAGGCUCAGAAAAAAAGAAAAGAUGUACCAUGCUUAUAUUCUAGGAGAGAAGAAAGCUUAUUGGAGGCAUGAAUAACAAGAAAACUCCCAGAGCAUUUACAAAAGGGACUGUUGGACGACUAGGAGUGGGGCUUGAACUCUUCAAAGUUACCUUUAUUAUUCCUGCACCAAGGAGCUUUCUACAGUCAAGACAAGGGGUUGGAGUGAAAAAUCAGAAGUCUGCUGUGCCUGCCCUUCCCACUGCGGUCUCUGCCCUGCCUUACCCUUGUGGCCAAGAAGCUUGAUUCUUCAGUAUAAAAGGACAAGGAUGUCACACCUAUUUAUGGUAAUUGUGGUUGAGGUGGAGCCCAGUGGGAGUGGAAUGGUCACAGAAUGCUAAGGGAUUGUUACCACCCUGCCUGACAUCACCCUAGCUAGCCCUAUGUUGGCAGAGGUGCAGAGUGAGUUGUUCUAGGUAGGUCAAAGGUUUGAGACUCUGUUUUGUGGGUUGUUGUUGUGAAGCCACUUUGC